Molecule: long non-coding RNA, 830 nt
Organism: Myiozetetes cayanensis
Lineage: Eukaryota; Metazoa; Chordata; Aves; Passeriformes; Tyrannidae
Exons: 3
Source: RefSeq, a predicted model, not a curated record
ACUGUCCAGGCCGUGUUCUCUCGGCAGCUGCUGCAGCUGGGGGGGCUCAGUGGGGGGAGGGCGGGCGCCGUCCUGAGCCGCUUCCCCACCCCUGCCAGCCUCAUGGACGCCCUCGUGGACCCCCAAAGUGCCAGGAUGUGCUCAGUGCCCUGCGCUGCGGCCCCUCCCAGAGGAACCUGGGCCCCUCCCUCAGCAGGUCCCUCGUGCAGCUCUACGGGACCCCCGGGCCACUGCCCUGAGGGGACACCCCCUGUGCGUGUCCCCCCUGCUGCCAUCACCUCAUUGUCACUCCCUGUCACCCCAUUGUCACCUCGUUGUCACUCUCUGUCACUUCAUUGUCACCCCCUGUUACCUCGUUGUCACCCCUUGUCAUUCUAUUGUCACCCCCUGUCACUUCAUUGUUACCCUCUGUCAUCCCCUGUCACCCCGUUGUCACCCCCUGUCCAUCCCAUUGUCACCCUCUGCCGCCUCAUUGUCACCCUCUGUCAUCCCAUGUCAUCCUCUGUCACCCCCUGUCACCUCAUUGUCACCCCCAUCACUUCAUUGUCACCCCCUGUCCCUUCAUUGUUACCCUCUGUCAUCUCCUGUCAUCCCCUGUCACCUCAUUGUCACCUCAUUGUCACCCCCUGUCACCUCAUUGUCAGCCCAUGUCAUCCCAUUGUCACCCCCUGUCACUUCAUUGUCAUCCCCUGUCACCCCGUUGUCACCCCCUGUCCAUCCCAUUGUCACCCUCUGCCGCCUCAUUGUCACUCUCUGUCAUCCCGUGUCAUCCUCUGUCACCCCCUGUUGUCCCAUUGUCACCUCGUUGUCACCCCCCAAUAAAGUCCAUC